GGGCUACUGACGGCAACCGUAGGGAUGGCGACCGUGUAACCGUCCGAACUGACCUACCCCCAUCUAUGAAACGCGAGCGUGGUCAUCUAGCAUCAGUUACAGAGAACAUUCGCAGAACCAAGCAAUUGAAAACCAGGAUAAGGAUUCAAGGAACCAAAGUACUGCUGCAGACUAAAAACCCUAAUGCACCUUCUUCACAGUGGUCAACUUGGACUGAGUAGAUUUACUUAUCACAUGCAACAUCAUGACUAUGGUAAUUAUGAAUAUCAUUGGAGACCGAGUCAAAUUCAAUCCCCAUAACUUUGCAAGGACGAAUGGAGUAGGCCUGAUCCAUCUUCUAUACAGAUUAAGAUUUUGUGCUUAGUCCAGAAAGCCAUAGUAGGUUACGUAGACUGUACUUUACAGCUACAUAUAAAGAUUUUGUGCUUAGUCCAGAAAGCCAUAGUAGGUUAUGUAGACUGGUAGUUUACAGUUACAUAUAAGAUUUUGUGCUUAGUCCAAAAAGCCAUAGUAGGUUAUGUAGACUGAUACUUUACAGCUACAUGUAAGUAAUAUUGACGAUUUAAUGUACUAGUACUAGUAUGUUCCUCUGGCCAUGUCAUGCAUACUUCCUUUAUUUCAUCAGAUUUAUUUAUUUAUUUUUUUCUUUCACCAAUAUCAUCCAAAUGGUAAUGUUGUUUAAUGGUACAGUAACUGCUUAUUAAUUAUUAUUAUUAUUAUUACUAUUACAAUUCAUGGCUAUUUAUUUUGUUUUAAUCCUUAUUUUCAUUACAACACCCUUUUCUUCACCAUUAUUUGCUUCGCUAAUUAUAUCCUGUUCGGCAUCACAAAUUAUAUAUUGGUACCUUAAUCUUUUGUCUAACGGACAUUAUGAAGCACCUUAUACCAUGCAUACAUUAUUCUCUUUAUUAGUUUUGCAUUAUCUUUUUUUAUAUACAAAUUUACAAUAAUUCCUCAAAUGGAUAGGUAAUAAUGUGCUGGCUUUUGUACACUUUCAUACAAGCAUGCAUUAUUCUGAGUAGCUAGUGAAUACAACAGCAUUUUCUCAUUAUUACUGGAUCCUAAAUUGUUUGACCCUUUUCAGUAGGUAAUUAGUGCCAUUUUUAUUGUUUUUUUUUGUAUUUUGUUAAUUAUCUCCAUGAACACUUAUUUCAUUUUCCCUUUUACAUUUAGAUUAGAUUUUGUGCAUAGCUCUAAUAGCCAUAGUAAGUUAUGGGACUGGUACAUGUACAUUUAGAGGUAAGCAACAUUGACAAAUUCAUGUAUGUUCCUCUGUCAUGUCAUGCAUGCCCUUUUUAUUUCAUUUUAUUCAUUUUUUCCACCAAUAUCAUUAUCUAAAUGGUAACGUUAUUUGUAACUGUUAUUACUCAUUACAAUGCUUGAUUAAGUUUUUUAUUAUUUUAUUUUCUUUUUAAUUCUUAUCUUAUUUCAACACCCUUUUAUUGACCAUUUCUCGCUAUGCUAAUCAUAUCCUGGCUGGUAUCACAAAUUUUAUAUUGCUACCUUAUUAUUUUGUCCUAAUUAACAUAAUGAAUUUGUUCACACCAUGCUUACAUUCUUUUAUUUUAGUAUUUAGCAUCAUAUUAUUGAACGUUCAAAUAUCAUUGCCUCAAACGGAUGAAUAUCUUCAUGCAUCUAUUAUUCAUCUAUCUGUAAUAUCUAGUGAUCUACUCUAGUUAUUUACAUAAGUUCCUCUUCGUGUGGCCGAAACCUGGCUUGGUAUCAUUGCAUAUAUUUUUCACCUUCUCUUGAAAGUUGAUUCUAUCAUGCAUGCCCUUUUAGUAAUUUGAAAUCACUGUUUUUGUUUCGUUAAUUCUUAAUUCUUUUUUUUCCUCACCUUCAUAUGCAAUACCAAUUUUUACCCAAUUUUAAAAAUUAGUUUAAGUCCUGUGUUCAGUAGCUCUUGAUCAUGCCAAGCAUGCUUGCAUCAUUAUUUAACAUUCCUUGUUCGCCCUUGCAAUAACUACAUUACCUAAUUAGAGAAUAAGUAAAUAUCUGUGUUUAGUUGUGAGCCCGUGGCCAUGCUUGCAAAACAUGCUCGCAUCACUAUUUGUCUGUUCAACUAUAGAUCUCAAGUUGAAUAAUCGACAUCUUGUUUUAUUUCUAUCGUAAUGACCACCCUUUUUUGAUAUUGGCUUCUAAUGACUGGUUUUACCAGAAUGGCAUUUUUUUCUAUUAUCUAUUUGUGUUUAAACAUUUGGGCAUGAUCCUUCUUUCAAUUCGUUCACUGCCAACCUUUUGUUCGCUCUCGCCGCACCUAUAAAAUAAUUACUGAGAAUUUGG
This 2283-nucleotide long non-coding RNA is filed under the name Lytechinus variegatus (green sea urchin). RNAcentral describes it as "uncharacterized LOC121416884, transcript variant X2". Lineage: Eukaryota; Metazoa; Echinodermata; Echinoidea; Temnopleuroida; Toxopneustidae. The record is from RNAcentral.